Molecule: long non-coding RNA, 201 nt
Organism: Etheostoma spectabile (orangethroat darter)
Lineage: Eukaryota; Metazoa; Chordata; Actinopteri; Perciformes; Percidae
Exons: 2
Source: RefSeq, a predicted model, not a curated record
CACUGUCUUAAUUGUUGCUAAUCUCAGCAUAAAGUUAAUUUUGGAAGAGCAGCUUUCCUGAAAAGUCACUUGUCUUAAUUGAUACAAAGCUGUUACGUAGUUGAUACUAGAAAGGCUGCACGGUGGAAACCUAAAAGAUACAUGAUAGCAUGAGCCUGCUCCCUCUAGUUUAAGAGCAGUACAUUUACUUACUAAGUCACA